Molecule: long non-coding RNA, 1380 nt
Organism: Hypomesus transpacificus
Lineage: Eukaryota; Metazoa; Chordata; Actinopteri; Osmeriformes; Osmeridae
Exons: 3
Source: RefSeq, a predicted model, not a curated record
GAAGAAACGGACUAAAACCCUUUCUUAGACACAUUUUCUAUUCAAUUGAACUAUUUGGUCCGGAUUUGAGCAUUGGCGAAACUGAAGGUGUCAGACUAAUUACAAAACAUGCGUCGAAGUAGUCGUGUGUGAGUCUGGCCAAUCAUUAAAUAGCUACUUCACCAACUUCACGGAGCUGUUUUUAACUCCUCCCCGACGGCAAGCUUCUACUCUCGCCGGUCGUUUCAUCACUUAAAAGUUUUUUAUCCACGGUUACUUGAGCUCUAAAUCAAUGUAAUUUGUCAUACGUAAAGUGAAGUUUCCCUACGUUUUAACAUUUGAGACCUAAUGUUUUUAAAGAUCAAAGCUAUGUUGCAGUCCUAACACUUAUGAAGAUUCCCUACUGGCCAAUUAUACUUGAUCAUGGGCGGAGACUAGACAAAGAAGACGCCUUAACGAGUGGGAAAUGGCUGCGGUGGUUGUUGAAGUGACAGAUCCUCUCUGUCUUCGAAGUCAGGUCAGGAAGCAAGCGGCUGCCUCUAUUGGUGAAUCUCGCAGCUACAACAGAACGCCUUGGAAAGAGCUGCAGAGAUCCUGCGGAAGAAUCCUUUAAUGGACUUUUUCUUCUUCUGUUUCUCUACGCUGGAGGACUCAGCAGGAUCUGGGCCUGGUCAGGGAACACCAUCACACAACAGGAGAUGAUGUCACACAUAACCAGCACUGUCCAUUUACUUGAAAAGAGCGUGUGUGUGUGUGUGUGACAAUAUAUCAUGAUCUCACUUCCACAGUUGAGGGGAGUAACUGAGUUAGUCUUCUUCUGUCCUUUGGCAGCAGCACUCUGUGUGACCUUGGUGACAGCAUUGGUCUUCUUUCUCAUCUGGGAUGGAAGUGAGACCAAAGACAAACAUAGUUCCUUAAAAUUAUUAAGUGUUUUACAUUAUGUUGACGGGAAAUAAAUGAGCAAAGUCUAGUUCAGGCAUGGCACUCUGGCAGCGCGCGUCAUCCACUCAUUAACUACACCUGUGUUAGCCUGCUCAAGCCCAUUGAGCUACGUCCGAUUAGGCGGCAUUCAAAGGCUGCGCAGAUACACACACACACUCACCCCCGGUUGCUGUAUGAUCUGUGCUGCUGCCAACCUCCACCCUCCCCUUCUCCCCCUUGUCAUCUGUAUGUUCUAUCCAUCAGGGGGAUUAUAUCUCUAUCUGCUCCCUGCCUCAUAUUCUAUGUAUGUAUGUUGCUCGCUAAUGCUGCUCGCUAAGGUAGGGACUGGGUCUCCUAGAUACAUACACUGCCAAAGUCAAACCUAUUUCCAUGUCUAUGGUUAUCAAUAAAUGCUCAAAUUUAAUACGUGAGUGUCUUGACUGAACUACAUUAACUGUAACUAUAUAUCUAAUGUGAUGG